GUGCUCAGUUCCGCAGCACAUAUACUAAAAUUGGAACAAUACAGAGGAGAUUAGCAUGGCCCUUGUGCAAGGAUGAUACCCAAAUUCGUGAAUCAUUCAGUUUUGUU
Eptesicus fuscus (big brown bat) is the source of this 107-nucleotide small nuclear RNA. The record is from RefSeq and is a predicted model, not a curated record. Lineage: Eukaryota; Metazoa; Chordata; Mammalia; Chiroptera; Vespertilionidae.